This 403-nucleotide ribosomal RNA is filed under the name uncultured bacterium. RNAcentral describes it as "bacterial SSU rRNA". It matches the Rfam family "Bacterial small subunit ribosomal RNA", at positions 362 to 759 of the family's 1533-position model. The record is from RNAcentral.
ACGUGACCGGGGGCAACCCCGCUCCGCACUGCCGCGCUGAGCUGAAGAAGGCCCCCGGGCCGUAAAGCCCCCCCGUCAGGGAAGAAACGGUGGGAGCCAAUAUCCCCUGCCAAUGACGGUACCUGAAGAAUAAGCACCGGCUAACCACGCGCCAGCAGCCGCGGUAAUACGCAGGGUGCAAGCGUUAAUCGGAAUCACUGGGCGUAAAGCGUGCGCAGGCGGUUGUGCAAGACAGAUGUGAAGUCCCUGGGCUCAACCUAGGAAUCGCAUUUGUGACUGCACGGCUAGAGUGUGUCAGAGGGGGGUAGAAUCCCACGUGUAGCAGUGAAAUGCGUAGAUAUGUGGAGGAAUACCGAUGGCGAAGGCAGCCCCCUGGGAUAACACUGACGCUCAUGCACGAAAG